CCAGUCAAUGCUCUAACCAAUUGAGCUCUCUGACCAGGGUUUUACCACACCCUUUUCAUACUAUUGUACCAAGGAGCUCAUGCACUAAACAGCCACUUGCUAAAUGGGAAAAUGUGUGCUCCAGUUUUAGGGAACAUGCCUUGACCAGUUCUUCCCUAACUAUGCCCCUUCCCCGAAGGGCUUGGGAAUGGAUAACAGGACUUUUGAGUCAUCACUGGAAUAAACACAUUAAAGCCUCUUCAUAACGCCAUAUCUGUAACUGAAGGUGGGCGAGAACGGCAAGGAAGAAAACAGAAAAUUCUGUUCCAGUGUGCUCUCCACCUGGAAGGAACAAAAACAGCAUGAGAAGAAAGAACUGGAAACCUCUCUUCUCUUCUCCUAACUCAUAAAAACCACAGAUGCC
Molecule: long non-coding RNA, 403 nt
Organism: Pipistrellus kuhlii (Kuhl's pipistrelle)
Lineage: Eukaryota; Metazoa; Chordata; Mammalia; Chiroptera; Vespertilionidae
Exons: 2
Source: RefSeq, a predicted model, not a curated record